ACGACGCUGGCGGCGUGCCUAACACAUGCAAGUCAACUUGACUGAAGGAGCAAUCUGACAGUAGAGUGGCGCAAGGGUGCGUAACGCGUAAGUAACUUGCCCAAGGUAAGGAAUAACGUCGAGAAAUCGGCGCUAAUACCUCAUAAUGCAGCGGAUCCGCAUGGAUAUGUUGUUAAAGGUUUACCGCCUUUGGGAUAGGCUUGCGUCUGAUUAGUUAGUUGGUGUGGUAACGGCACACCAAGGCUACGAUCAGUAACUGGUCUGAGAGGAUGAUCAGUCACACUGGAACUGAGACACGGUCCAGACUCCUACGGGAGGCAGCAGUGAGGAAUAUUGGGCAAUGCUCGAAAGAGUGACCCAGCAACGCCGCGUGGAGGAUGAAGGUAUUCUAUAUCGUAAACUCCUGUGAGAGCAGACGAAAGACAGAUUAUUAAUCUGGAUGACUGUAUGCUCAGAGGAAGCCCCGGCUAACUACGUG
This 478-nucleotide ribosomal RNA is filed under the name uncultured bacterium. RNAcentral's name for it is "bacterial SSU rRNA". It matches the Rfam family "Bacterial small subunit ribosomal RNA", at positions 32 to 507 of the family's 1533-position model. The record is from RNAcentral.